AAAAAGAUAAGCUAACAAUAAGCUAAUGGGUUCAUACCCCAUUUAUGAAUUUAAAAUUCUCUUUUUA
This 67-nucleotide transfer RNA is filed under the name Plectoderini sp. SX-2018. RNAcentral describes it as "tRNA-Met". The record is from RNAcentral. Lineage: Eukaryota; Metazoa; Arthropoda; Insecta; Hemiptera; Achilidae.